Molecule: non-coding RNA, 31 nt
Filed under: Mus musculus (house mouse)
Lineage: Eukaryota; Metazoa; Chordata; Mammalia; Rodentia; Muridae
Source: RNAcentral
UAUCUGAAUGACCCCGAAGUCUAUGCAAAGA